This 74-nucleotide transfer RNA is filed under the name Limia perugiae (Perugia's limia). RNAcentral describes it as "tRNA-Thr". It matches the Rfam family "tRNA". From Rfam's summary of the family: Transfer RNA (tRNA) molecules are approximately 80 nucleotides in length. The record is from RNAcentral. Lineage: Eukaryota; Metazoa; Chordata; Actinopteri; Cyprinodontiformes; Poeciliidae. RNAcentral also lists the same sequence under 2 other names.
GCACUAGUAGCUCAGUAUCUUAGAGCGUCGGUCUUGUAAAUCGAAAGUCGGAGGUUAAAUUCCUCCCUACUGCU